AUCUAACUGACAAGUUCAAAAUAGGACUAAACACGUGUCAAACUGGAU
This is a non-coding RNA of Schistosoma curassoni, 48 nucleotides long. NCBI's taxonomy places the organism in Eukaryota, Metazoa, Platyhelminthes, Trematoda, Strigeidida, Schistosomatidae. The record is from Rfam.